AACCGUGGGAAAUCUAGAGCUAAUACAUGCAAUUAAGGGUGUGGGCGACCACAUUCGAUGGCAUUUAUUAGAUAAUGACCAACCGUAAGCGUGAGUUUACGUGGUGAAUCUAGAUAACUGUGCAGAUCGUAUGGCCUUGAGCUGACGACAUUUCGAUUGAAUUUCUGCCCUAUCAACUUUUGUCGGUAGUGUAGUGGACUACCGAGGUUUUUACGGGUGACGGGGGAUCAGGGUUCGAUUCCGGAGAGGGAGCCUGAGAAACGGCUACCACAUCCAAGGAAGGCAGCAGGCGCGCAAAUUACCCAAUCCAGACAAUGGGAGGUGGUGACGAAAAGUACCGGAUGACGAUUUAUGAUUGUCAAUCUGGAAUGGAGCCAAUUUAAGCAAUUGGCUGAGAAACUACUGGAGGGCAAGUCUGGUGCCAGCAGCCGCGGUAACUCCAGCUCCAGUAGCGUAUCUCAAAGUUGCUGCGCUUAAAACGCUCGUAGUUGGAUCACAAACUAUUCAUCGGUGGGUUAUGAAGUCUACGUCAAAACCAGAAAAUCCCCUGUGUGUCAUCGCAUGGGGGAGGAUUUGGGUGGCGGAGCUUCGUGCCGUAAGCCGGUGGAUAGUAAUUGCACGUGAGGAUAGGCACUGACCUUGAGUGUGUUGGUGUUUGUGUCUCACGGAGUGUGCCUUGAGUAAAUCAGAGUGCUUAAAGCAGGCUUUACGCUUGAAUGUUAUAGCAUGGAACGAACAAUCGUGUAUGGUGUAUGCUGGCAAUGAUUUGUUAAACGUAGUUUGACGUCAUCAGCAUACGACACCGACCACCAAUUACGGAUGUUGGUUUCGUAUUGGGGUAUUGAUUAAGAGGAGCGGUUGGGGGCAUUGGUAUUUGGCAGCGAGAGGUGAAAUUCUUGGACCUGCCAACGACUAACAAAUGCGAAGGCAUCUGUCCAGACCGUAUCCAUUAAUCAAGAACGAUAGUGAAAGGUUCGAAGACGAUCAGAUACCGUCGUAGUUUUCACUGUAAACUAUGCCGACCCGGGAUUAGUUUGGAGCUAUGUUCCAUGCUCGGAGUUGGUCCCCCUGGGAAACCUUAAGUUUUUCGGUUGCGGGGGGAGUAUGGUCGCAAGGCUGAAACUUAAAGGAAUUGACGGAAGGGCACCACCAGGGGUGGAGCCUGCGGCUUAAUUUGACUCAACACGGGACAACUUACCUGGUCCGAACAUCCGAAGGAUACACAGACUGAUAGAUCUUUGUUGAUGGGGUGAAGAGUGGUGCAUGGCCGUUCUUAGUUCGUGGAGUGAUUUGUCUUGAUUAAUUUCGAUAACGAGCGAGACUACAUUCUCCACUUGACAAACCAGGGAAGGGCGUAUUUGCAGUUUGUUGGCAACAAUGAACAGGCAAUGUACGCCUGCAGGCAACAUUGGGGAGUUGUUGUGAAGCUAAGCUUGCUUGGUGUAGCAGCAGCUAACUGGUGUUCCCUCUGGUCAUGCAAUAUAUUGUCUAUGGCAGUGUAUUGUAUCGUGGAGAGACAGCGGAAUAUAUUACAAAAUCCGAGGAAGUGUAGCUAUAACAGGUCCGUGAUGCCCUCAGAUGUUCAGGGCUGCACGCGCGCUACAAUGAUAUUAGCAACGAGUUUCUAAAUCGAAAGAUUUGGGUAAUCUUGCAAUUAAUAUCGUGAUGGGGAUCGACGUUUGUAAAUACGUCGUGAAAGAGGAAUCCCUAGUACGUGCG
Molecule: ribosomal RNA, 1719 nt
Filed under: Myxobolus parvus
Lineage: Eukaryota; Metazoa; Cnidaria; Myxozoa; Bivalvulida; Myxobolidae
Description: SSU rRNA
Rfam family: Eukaryotic small subunit ribosomal RNA
Source: RNAcentral